GCCUUGUUAGCGCAGUAGGUAGCGCGUCAGUCUCAUAAUCUGAAAAUCGUGAGUUUGAUCCUCACACAGGGCA
RNAcentral lists this transfer RNA (73 nucleotides) under Pelobates cultripes (western spadefoot toad). RNAcentral's name for it is "tRNA.Met". It matches the Rfam family "tRNA". From Rfam's summary of the family: Transfer RNA (tRNA) molecules are approximately 80 nucleotides in length. Their secondary structure includes four short double-helical elements and three loops (D, anti-codon, and T loops). Further hydrogen bonds mediate the characteristic L-shaped molecular structure. tRNAs have two regions of fundamental functional importance: the anti-codon, which is responsible for specific mRNA codon recognition, and the 3' end, to which the tRNAs corresponding amino acid is attached (by aminoacyl-tRNA synthetases). tRNAs cope with the degeneracy of the genetic code in two manners: having more than one tRNA (with a specific anti-codon) for a particular amino acid; and 'wobble' base-pairing, i.e. permitting non-standard base-pairing at the 3rd anti-codon position. The record is from RNAcentral. Lineage: Eukaryota; Metazoa; Chordata; Amphibia; Anura; Pelobatidae.